CGGGCCCAGUGCCUCCCUGGUGAUCUCUUGUCUCAGGCCAGGCCAGGGCUGGCUGUGAGGGGCUGAGCAGCACAGCGGAAGGGUGUGGACCCCAGCUCCCAGCCCACCUCUGCACGCCCAGAUGCCCUUGGGCUAGUGUCCCUCACAGUGGUGGUGAGGAGGAACCUAGCCAUCCUAAAAGGCCUGGCGUAGUGCUCAUGCUUCGCUGCUGAGGAAGAACCCGGCUUCCACAUCUCACCCCUGCCAGCAAGGUGCUCCCCAAGUUACCUGUCGGCUGGGGUAUCAGAACAUCCUCCUUUCUUUGUCCUCCGAGGAGAGAUUAGCAGAAGGCUGAGAGCAGCUCGCCAGCCAGGGCUCCCCGGCCGCUCUGAUCAAACACCACUCUGCCGCCUCUUCUUGACUGGUUCCCCCAGCGCAGGCCAGAAACAGCUGAUCAAACACAUCAGGACAAGGUUGAAACCUCUGUGCUCCACACAGGGUCCAGACCAAAGCCAGCAUUUGCAGAGAGGCCAGGGCUGCUGCUGCCUGUGAGGCCAGGGAAAUGAAGCGAAAUGUGCAUGCACGCAUGACUGUGUGGGGGUGAGAGAGAUGUCAGCAAUGCUCUGAGACUGGAGGGGCACGAAUUAUUUGGCAAAUGAAGAACUCGAGGUUCCAGGAGGCCACGUUGCUCCAUCUCAAAGAGCUCCACCUCCAUCGUGACUGAUCCUGAUAAUUAUGACGAUCCUGUUAUCCUGUUUACAUAUGAGUACACUGAAGCUCAAAAGGGUUGAGAAACUUGUCCAAGCUAGGUGGGCUUUUGCUGGAGGAGUCACGGUGGUGUAAAUACAAAAUGCCCCGUUCUUGCUCCUGUUCCUCUCCAGCUCCAGAGCAGAGCUAACCUGAAAUUAGCAGGUACCACAGGGCAGCCGGCACGCCCUCUCCCUCCCGGCUUUUGAGAAGACACCAUCACAGGAAGCAUGCUGCCUGGGCUCCAGUGGCUGUCUGCGUGGAGGGCUGGCCAGCUGGCAUGUUCUUGGGGCAGGCUCACCUUUGGAUAUUUGUGGCUUUCUGACAUUGCAGGAGAAGGCACUUACCUCAAUUAAACACAUUUUUAAAAAAGCCUACUAUAAUCUUAAA
RNAcentral lists this long non-coding RNA (1116 nucleotides) under Equus asinus (donkey). RNAcentral describes it as "lncRNA (ENSEASG00005028411.1)". The record is from RNAcentral. Lineage: Eukaryota; Metazoa; Chordata; Mammalia; Perissodactyla; Equidae.